AGCUCAAUGAAUACUAAUAUCUAAACAUGCAGGAGCUACUUCAAAGAGGAGGGUGUCGAGAAAAGUGUUGAAUGCUAAAGUUACUCAGUGUUCCGUUUGUAGUCGAGCUAAAGGCACCUAACCAUAGUGCAGUCUACUAUACACAAGAAGAAAGAAAAACCCUUUUAAAAUGAAACACACUCCUCCCACAUCUUGGUAAGAUCCAAGAAAGCAUAGUGUUCACAGCACUUUCCUCUUAAACCUCUGUGGGAUCAGUCAUAUGAUCUGAUGUCAAAUCCCAGCAAUUUAAAUGUUUAAACUCUUAGAAACUUUAUCAAAGGAAGGUCAACAUGAUUAAUUUUUUCUUUUUCUGUUGCCUGACAGGUGUCUGUCUGGGUGUAGAGGUCCGUCAGACUCCCUCUGAGUUCAUCACUGAUGUCGGAUCCAAAGUGCAGAUUUUCUGCAGCCAUGAAAAGACCGACUACAGGAUGAUGCUCUGGUACCAGCAGUCACCUGGAGAGACAGCUAUGAAACUCAUUGGGUUUUUAAACGUCAACACUCCAAAAUUUGAAGAUGAAAAUAACGAUAAUUUUGAAAUCGGUGGCGAUCUGAGUGGGAGUACAGCAAAAAACGGUUCUCUGAUAGUCAAGAAAGCUCAAGGACAAGAGCACAGUGCAACGUACUAUUGUGCAGCAAGUAAAGCACAAUGA
Haplochromis burtoni (Burton's mouthbrooder) is the source of this 689-nucleotide non-coding RNA. NCBI's taxonomy places the organism in Eukaryota, Metazoa, Chordata, Actinopteri, Cichliformes, Cichlidae. The record is from the annotation of a RefSeq genome assembly.